GGGCUCCAUAUGAUCCGUUUUGAGAGGAUGGAUUCCGGGUACAGAGGAGGGCUGUUUGGGAUACCCAUUUAAAUGGGAGUUGAUUAAGGACUAAACUUAGGGUUUAAAUAAAUUAAACCUAAGUUUUAUUCUAUUUUAUUUCCCUUUUCCCUUUAUUUUCCCCGAUCCCUUUUUCUUCCCCGCCGAGACCUUCUUUCCCCGAUCUCCUCUCCCGGCUCUCUCGCGCGACCUCUUCUUCCCCGACGCCGACGGCCUCCUCGUGCUAUCGCCCCCUCCUUCCUCUCCCUCUCGAGGUGUGGAUCCCUUCUCCUCUAUUGAGCCUUUUAGCGAGUUUUCCGGUUGUUCUCUGCUCCUAGCGUCUCUACCGCGGCCAGUUUAAUCGCGCCGGCGUCGUGUAGCCACCGAGCCUCCCUUCUCCUCCACCGAUUGAUCGAGUCCAUCCAGCCACUCAAUCUUCCCUCUCCGAGUCAUGGACGCCGAGUGCUCGUUGAGAAUGGGCAUCCAAGACCCCUAUUCUACCGUGCCCUAGAUCGCCUUUGCACAGAUACUCUCAGUCAAGAAGGGGGAAACCUACCUCUAGCUUGGAUCUUGCUUUACCUCACGCACGAGCCGGGCCUCUGAUCGCCGAAAUACCUAGUUCCAGCCAUUCCCUAGCUUGACGAGGAGGUUCUGGUCACCAGAAGCUGUGGCGAUCUCUAUGGCGAGGAGGGUUGUUGUUCGAGUUCACCACUGGAUAGAUCACCAAUGUCGGCAGAGGACAGUAGCUCUUGUUCUUCACAGUGCAUUUGGAGGGGAAGUUGCUACGAAUAUGGAUUUGGGUUCCAACAGUGAUUUUCUUCAGCAACAAAUCAUGUUCUGGGGCAUCUGGAUUGAGGUAGGGUUCUGUUGAGGUCUGUGUGUGUUCUUGGAGUUUAUGGACAGGGAGUCAUAAGAGCUGAGAGCUGUUGUACUUCUGCCGGACCUCAAGUAUCUUCCACCUUGCUCCAGCUACGGACUCUAGCAGUGGUUGCUUCAGUUUUGGCUCUUUGAUGGCUCUUGGCACUAUUGACACCAAUCUAUGAGCACAUGGAAGCAUGUAGAUGGUUUGGAGGAUUAAUCAGAGAUCAGAUUUAGUUGGAGUGAUCCUAGUUGGGACUUGGAUAUGGGAUGAUCAUCACGACGUGGGAUUUAUUCUGGACACGGUCGACAAAUUAAG
Zingiber officinale is the source of this 1195-nucleotide long non-coding RNA. RefSeq lists it as uncharacterized. NCBI's taxonomy places the organism in Eukaryota, Viridiplantae, Streptophyta, Magnoliopsida, Zingiberales, Zingiberaceae. The transcript is spliced from 5 exons. The record is from RefSeq and is a predicted model, not a curated record.